GAUGAAGAACGCAGCGAAAUGUGAUAAGUAAUGCGAAUUGCAGAAUUUCCGUGAGUCAUCGAAUCUUUGAACGCACAUUGCGCCCCCUGGUAUUCCGGGGGGCAUGCCUGUCCGAGCGUCAUUGCUGCCCUCAAGCACGGCUUGUGUGUUGGGCCUCCGUCCUCCUCCCGGGGGUCGGGCCCGAAAGGCAGCGGCGGCACCGCGUCCGGUCCUCGAGCGUAUGGGGCUUCGUCACCCGCUCUUGUAGGCCCGGCCGGCGCUUGCCGACACAUCAAUCUUUUUUCCAGGUUGACCUCGGAGCAGGUAGGGAUACCCGCUGAACUUAAGCAUAUCAAUAAGCGGAGGA
This 346-nucleotide unclassified non-coding RNA is filed under the name soil metagenome. Its description in RNAcentral is "partial contains 5.8S ribosomal RNA, internal transcribed spacer 2, and large subunit ribosomal RNA". The stretch from base 1 to 121 matches the Rfam family "5.8S ribosomal RNA", at positions 35 to 154 of the family's 154-position model. The record is from RNAcentral.